This 468-nucleotide ribosomal RNA is filed under the name uncultured bacterium. RNAcentral's name for it is "partial 16S ribosomal RNA". It matches the Rfam family "Bacterial small subunit ribosomal RNA", at positions 28 to 507 of the family's 1533-position model. The record is from RNAcentral.
GACGAACGCUGGCGGCGUGCUUAACACAUGCAAGUCGAACGGAAAGGCCCUGCUUUUGUGGGGGGCUCGAGUGGCGAACGGGUGAGUAACACGUGAGUAACCUGCCCUUGACUUUGGGAUAACUUCAGGAAACUGGGGCUAAUACCGGAUAGGAGCUCCUGCUGCAUGGUGGGGGUUGGAAAGUUUCGGCGGUUGGGGAUGGACUCGCGGCUUAUCAGCUUGUUGGUGGGGUAGUGGCUUACCAAGGCUUUGACGGGUAGCCGGCCUGAGAGGGUGACCGGCCACAUUGGGACUGAGAUACGGCCCAGACUCCUACGGGAGGCAGCAGUGGGGAAUAUUGCACAAUGGGCGGAAGCCUGAUGCAGCAACGCCGCGUGCGGGAUGACGGCCUUCGGGUUGUAAACCGCUUUCGCCUGUGACGAAGCGUGAGUGACGGUGAUGGGUAAAGAAGCACCGGCUAACUACGUG